GCCUUUUCGACAGCCACGAGCAUUCUCUUCCCACGUCCGCAGGCGUCCGAUCGCCUCCGUUAUGGUCAUGUCGUCGAUGUCGUAAAGCUGCUCGAGCGUGCCGAUGAUGUACGUGAAUUUGUCAAUCACUGAACUGAAAAAUUUCUCCACAAUCUCGGUCUCCUCGAGCUUUGCACCAAGCGCGCGGAUCUCUCCCACCAAAGUAGUAAGACGCAUGGCAUAGUCGUUCACCGAUUCAGUUUCCUCCAUCUGCAACUUGUGAAAUUGGCGCUUCAGCACUUGUGCCCGAGCCUUGGUGACACGAUCUUCUCCGAUCCUCAUCUCCUUGAGUGCGUUCCACGCC
RNAcentral lists this long non-coding RNA (343 nucleotides) under Hordeum vulgare. Its description in RNAcentral is "long non-coding RNA (HVUL_LNC010787)". The record is from RNAcentral. Lineage: Eukaryota; Viridiplantae; Streptophyta; Magnoliopsida; Poales; Poaceae.